This 461-nucleotide unclassified non-coding RNA is filed under the name Hevea brasiliensis (rubber tree). Lineage: Eukaryota; Viridiplantae; Streptophyta; Magnoliopsida; Malpighiales; Euphorbiaceae. The record is from RNAcentral.
AAUCAAAUGCGCUGUUUCUUUUAUUUCCAGUAGUUUAGACAUUCAAUCUUCAUCAAGUUUACAAUACAAGCAAAGCCAUUCUUCCCCCAGCAUGCCUAUGAGGAUUUGAAAAGUAACUACGCUACAUAGUAAUGUUACAACCAGAGCCAAAAAUUUUUAUAGAAAAUUAUUUUGAAGAUGAAGCAUCCUUUGAAUCUUGUUUUGAUCCUGACAUAGCAGCGCUUGCAGCUAUUGUCAUGGCUGUUGCUGCUGCUCCCAGCUUAGCACCACCAGCAGCCUUCAUUGCACCCGCCACUUUUGCAAAUACGGCAAUCCCUCCAACAAGCAUAGCCCUCAAAGCAACUGUUGGUUUUACUGCCAUUUCUUGUGCGACCUGAAUCUCGGAACCGAAGAUGUCCUUGUGCUGACAACGAUAGUAUUUGCAGAGUGAAAGAGGAAAUGAGAGAGGGAAAGGGAUAUAU